AGCGGGCCGCGCCGCGCAUGCGCACCUCGAAGCGCGCUGUCCGUGCCCACAGGCGGGCGGGAAGGCGGGGUGAGGCGGGGGCGGGGCUCCAUCCGGGUCCCUCCCCGCCAGCGGCAGAGCGGCGGCCGGGCUCGGGGCGAGACGCCUACCCAUGAGCUCAGAUUUCCAGCAUUACAGUUUCAGGAUGCCGAACAUCGGGUUCCAGAACCUGCCUCUCAACAUAUAUAUCGUGGUUUUUGGCACGGCCAUCUUCGUCUUCAUCCUCAGUUUACUGUUCUGUUGCUACUUGAUCAGGUAAGAGAGCUGCCCUGGCUGUCUGCAGGAGAUGACCUCCUUCGGGUGAGGGCAUCCCACAAAGUGCUCUGUGCACGAAUUGUUCCUGUUA
Molecule: long non-coding RNA, 385 nt
Filed under: Gallus gallus (chicken)
Lineage: Eukaryota; Metazoa; Chordata; Aves; Galliformes; Phasianidae
Description: long non-coding RNA NONGGAT007308
Source: RNAcentral